GACGAACGCUGGCGGCGUGCUUAACACAUGCAAGUCGAACGGAAAGGCCCUGCUUUUGUGGGGUGCUCGAGUGGCGAACGGGUGAGUAACACGUGAGUAACCUGCCCUUGACUUUGGGAUAACUUCAGGAAACUGGGGCUAAUACCGGAUAGGAGCUCCUGCUGCAUGGUGGGGGUUGGAAAGUUUCGGCGGUUGGGGAUGGACUCGCGGCUUAUCAGCUUGUUGGUGGGGUAGUGGCUUACCAAGGCUUUGACGGGUAGCCGGCCUGAGAGGGUGACCGGCCACAUUGGGACUGAGAUACGGCCCAGACUCCUACGGGAGGCAGCAGUGGGGAAUAUUGCACAAUAGGCGGAAGCCUGAUGCAGCAACGCCGCGUGGGGGAUGACGGCCUUCGGGUUGUAAACCGCUUUCGCCUGUGACGAAGCGUGAGUGACGGUAAUGGGUAAAGAAGCACCGGCUAACUACGUG
This 468-nucleotide ribosomal RNA is filed under the name uncultured bacterium. RNAcentral describes it as "partial 16S ribosomal RNA". It matches the Rfam family "Bacterial small subunit ribosomal RNA", at positions 28 to 507 of the family's 1533-position model. The record is from RNAcentral.